RNAcentral lists this small nuclear RNA (284 nucleotides) under Erinaceus europaeus (western European hedgehog). RNAcentral describes it as "7SK RNA (ENSEEUG00000021858.1)". It matches the Rfam family "7SK RNA". From Rfam's summary of the family: 7SK was discovered as an abundant small nuclear RNA in the mid-70s but a possible function has only recently been suggested. Two independent studies have found that 7SK RNA binds the CDK9/cyclin T complex (known as elongation factor P-TEFb). The record is from Rfam by way of RNAcentral. Lineage: Eukaryota; Metazoa; Chordata; Mammalia; Eulipotyphla; Erinaceidae.
GGAUGUGAGGGCGAUCUGGCUGAGACAUCUGUCACCCCAUUGAUCACCAUGGUUGAUUCGGCUGACCUGGCUGGCUAGGUGGGUAUGCCCUUCCUCCCUCACUGCUCCAUGUGCAUCCCUCCUGAAGCUGCGUGCUAGGACGAAGAGGACGGCCUUUCUCAAAUAGAGAUGGACCAUUGAGGGUAUAUGAGUACCUGUGCUCCCCUGCUAGAACCUUCAACCAAGCUCUCAAGGAAAUGCUGUAUAAACUUGUAUCACCACACCAAAUGAUGUAGGACCCCUUU